GACGAACGCUGGCGGCGUGCCUAAUACAUGCAAGUAGAACGCUGAAGGAGGAGCUUGCUCUUCUGGAUGAGUUGCGAACGGGUGAGUAACGCGUAGGUAACCUGCCUGGUAGCGGGGGAUAACUAUUGGAAACGAUAGCUAAUACCGCAUAAGAGUAGAUGUUGCAUGACAUUUGCUUAAAAGGUGCAAUUGCAUCACUACCAGAUGGACCUGCGUUGUAUUAGCUAGUUGGUGAGGUAACGGCUCACCAAGGCAACGAUACAUAGCCGACCUGAGAGGGUGAUCGGCCACACUGGGACUGAGACACGGCCCAGACUCCUACGGGAGGCAGCAGUAGGGAAUCUUCGGCAAUGGACGGAAGUCUGACCGAGCAACGCCUCGUGAGUGAAGAAGGUUUUCGGAUCGUAAAGCUCUGUUGUAAGAGAAGAACGAGUGUGAGAGUGGAAAGUUCACACUGUGACGGUAUCUUACCAGAAAGGGACGGCUAACUACGUGCCAGCAGCCGCGGUAAUACGUAGGUCCCGAGUUUGUCCGGAUUUAUUGGGCGUAAAGCGAGCGCAGGCGGUUAGAUAAUUUGGAAGUUUAAGGUGUGGCUUAACCAUAGUACGCUUUUGGAUACUGUUUAACUUGAUUGCAAGAUGGGAGAGUGGAAUUUCCUGUGUAGCGUUGAAAUGCUUAUAUUUAUGGAGGAACACCGGUGUGUUGAUCGGCUCUCUGGUGUGUAUGUGAGUCUUAGUGCUGAAAGCGGGGAGCAAGUGUGAUAUGAUGUGGGGUGUGUGUGUGGUAGUAUCGGUGUGUGGUUAUGCGUUGGUGUGUCCUGUGUGUGUUGAGGAAAAAAUAUGAGAGAGUGUUGUGUGUUAUUGUGUGUUGUUA
Molecule: ribosomal RNA, 873 nt
Filed under: uncultured Peptostreptococcus sp.
Lineage: Bacteria; Bacillati; Bacillota; Clostridia; Peptostreptococcales; Peptostreptococcaceae
Description: bacterial SSU rRNA
Rfam family: Bacterial small subunit ribosomal RNA (bases 1-762)
Source: RNAcentral